This 495-nucleotide long non-coding RNA is filed under the name Homo sapiens (human). Its description in RNAcentral is "HSALNT0133746". Lineage: Eukaryota; Metazoa; Chordata; Mammalia; Primates; Hominidae. The record is from RNAcentral.
AUGUUCCUUCUCUCCAUUGAUAGCCCAGCCACCUUCCUCCCAGCCACAAAAGCCAGAAAUCCCAGUCUUCAAUCACUUUGUCCUCUCCUACCCACUCACAUCCUUACCUUGAGCUUAAUUGAGAGAAAAAGAUGAAAGCAUAAAACUUUGUGGAGUGAAAAAUUAGGCAACCAAAAUAGCAUCUUAUGAAGGGUAACUCAUGGUGGAUGUGACAAAGAAAAGAUGAUAAACCUAUAAAGGGCUACCAUCCUAAUAUUUCAGAACAGGCUUCCCGGUGAUAAGCGAUUAUAUUUCAAAGAGAUAAGAUGUGAUGCAUAUUCUCUUUAUCAUGAAAAUGUGAAACUGUAUCUUCUUGAAACUGAAAAUAAAGAUGUAUACUGACUAUAUGGCUAUGUAAUGGUUAUUAAUUAUACAGUUUUAUUUUGCUUAUGAGUCUGAAAAAUAUGUGUACAAGUGAAAAUAAAUUGAUAAGAAUGCAAGUUAUUUUACGUAAAA